AUUGAACGCUGGCGGCAGGCCUAACACAUGCAAGUCGAGCGGAUGAAGGGAGCUUGCUCCUGGAUUCAGCGGCGGACGGGUGAGUAAUGCCUAGGAAUCUGCCUGGUAGUGGGGGAUAACGUCCGGAAACGGGCGCUAAUACCGCAUACGUCCUGAGGGAGAAAGUGGGGGAUCUUCGGACCUCACGCUAUCAGAUGAGCCUAGGGCGGAUUAGCUAGUUGGUGGGGUAAAGGCCUACCAAGGCGACGGUCCGUAACUGGUCUGAGAGGAUGAUCAGACACACUGGAACUGAGACACGGUCCAGACUUCUACGGGAGGCAGCAGUGGGGAAUAUUGGACAAUGGGCGAAAGCCUGAUCCAGCCAUGGCGCGUGUGAAGAAGGUCUUCGGAUUGUAAAGCACUUUAAGUUGGGAGGAAGGGCAGUAAGUUAAUACCUUGCUGUUUUGACGUUACCAACAGAAUAAGCACCGGCUAACUUCGUG
This 482-nucleotide ribosomal RNA is filed under the name uncultured bacterium. RNAcentral describes it as "partial 16S ribosomal RNA". It matches the Rfam family "Bacterial small subunit ribosomal RNA", at positions 30 to 507 of the family's 1533-position model. The record is from RNAcentral.